Molecule: ribosomal RNA, 628 nt
Filed under: Indabracon sp. RDB-2000
Lineage: Eukaryota; Metazoa; Arthropoda; Insecta; Hymenoptera; Braconidae
Description: eukaryotic LSU rRNA
Rfam family: Eukaryotic large subunit ribosomal RNA
Source: RNAcentral
CCUGAGAAACCCAAAAGAUCGAAUGGGGAGAUUCAUCGUCAGCUCAUUUUAUAUAUAUGCUAGUUAUGAUAUGGGYUACUACUUGUAGUAUUGCCUGUACAUUCUUGUAUAUUUAUUUGUAAGAUGUUGUCGGCGUGCACUUCUCCCCUAGUAGGACGUCGCGACCCGUUGAGUUUGUUGGUCUACGGCCCAAGUGGGAGCUUUUAAUGAAUUUUAUUCAUUGAAAACCCUUGGUGUUACCUGACUGGCGCUCGUCGGUAUUCGUAUGGUAUUGAGCCGCAUAUUAUAUGCGUCCAUAUCUGUCGCAAGCGAGGUUAGUUACUGAUAGUGCGGACCUAGUGCCGUCGUUGGUGCUAAUCAGCUGUUGGCUGUACAGAAUUCUAGGACUGGCUCGUUGAAAUACCGGUCAGCGAUGCUACUGCUUUGGGUACUUUCAGGACCCGUCUUGAAACACGGACCAAGGAGUCUAACAUGUACGCGAGUCAUUGGGAUUUUUAUAAAUUAAACCUAAAGGCGUAAUGAAAGUAAAGGUCGUCCUUGUGUCGACUAAGGGAGGAUAAGCUGUGUUACGAGACAGCUUCGCACUCUCGGGGCGUCUCAUUCUCAUUGCGAGAAGAGGCGCACCUAG